RNAcentral lists this ribosomal RNA (406 nucleotides) under uncultured bacterium. Its description in RNAcentral is "partial 16S ribosomal RNA". It matches the Rfam family "Bacterial small subunit ribosomal RNA", at positions 30 to 526 of the family's 1533-position model. The record is from RNAcentral.
AUUGAACGCUGGCGGCAGGCCUAACACAUGCAAGUCGAACGAGUGGCGGACGGGUGAGUAAUGUCUGGGAAACUGCCUGAUGGAGGGGGAUAACUACUGGAAAAGGUAGCUAAUACCGCAUACCAUCAGAUGUACCCAGAUGGGAUUAGCUGUGUGGUGGGGUAACGGCUCACCAAGGCGACGAUCCCUAGCGGGUCUGAGAGGAUGACCAGCAAAACUGUAACUGAGACACGGCCCAGACUCCUACGGGAGGCAGCAGUGGGGAAUAUUGCACAAUGGGCGCAAGCCUGAUGCAGCCAUGCCGCGUGUAUGAAGAAGGCCUUCGGGUUGUAAAGUACUUUCAGUGGGGAGGCGUUACCCACAGAAGAAGCAACGGCUAACUCCGUGCCAGCCGCCGCGGUAAUUC